RNAcentral lists this ribosomal RNA (440 nucleotides) under uncultured bacterium. RNAcentral describes it as "partial 16S ribosomal RNA". It matches the Rfam family "Bacterial small subunit ribosomal RNA", at positions 338 to 795 of the family's 1533-position model. The record is from RNAcentral.
CCUACGGGAGGCAGCAGUGGGGAAUAUUGCACAAUGGGGGAAACCCUGAUGCAGCGACGCCGCGUGAGUGAAGAAGUAUUUCGGUAUGUAAAGCUCUAUCAGCAGGGAAGAAAAUGACGGUACCUGACUAAGUAGCCCCGGCUAACUACGUGCCAGCAGCCGCGGUAAUACGUCGGGGGCAAGCGUUAUCCGGAUUUACUGGGUGUAAAGGGAGCGUAGAUGGCAGGGCAAGUCAGGUGUGAAAUCCCGGGGCUCAACCCCGGAACUGCAUUGGAAACUGUACAGCUGGAGUGCAGGAGAGGUAAGCGGAAUUCGUGGUGUAGCGGUGAAAUGCGUAGAUAUUAGGAGGAACACCAGUGGCGAAGGCGGCUUACUGAACUGUAACUGACAUUGAGGCUCGAAAGUGUGGGUAUCAAACAGGAUUAGAUACCCUAGUAGUC